GGAUGUGAGGGUGAUCUGACUGAGAUGUCUGUCACGCCAUUGAUUGCCAGGGUUGAUUCAGCUGAUCUGGCUGGCUGGGUGGUGUCCCCUUCCUCCCUCACUGCUCCAUGUACGUCCCUCCCGAAGCUGCGUGCUGUGCUCAGUUGAAGAGGAUGACCUUCCCCGAUAGAGGAGGGCCAUUCUUCGGUCAAGGGUAUACGAGUAGCUGUGCUCCCCUGCUAGAACCUCCAAACAAGCUCUCAAGUCACAGGAAGCUGGGGCUGGAGGGAGGCCCAGUGU
Molecule: small nuclear RNA, 279 nt
Filed under: Prolemur simus (greater bamboo lemur)
Lineage: Eukaryota; Metazoa; Chordata; Mammalia; Primates; Lemuridae
Description: 7SK RNA (ENSPSMG00000016547.1)
Rfam family: 7SK RNA
About the family: 7SK was discovered as an abundant small nuclear RNA in the mid-70s but a possible function has only recently been suggested.
Source: RNAcentral